Molecule: ribosomal RNA, 497 nt
Filed under: uncultured bacterium
Lineage: Bacteria
Description: partial 16S ribosomal RNA
Rfam family: Bacterial small subunit ribosomal RNA
Source: RNAcentral
GAUGAACGCUGGCGGCGUGCCUAACACAUGCAAGUCGAGCGAACGGACGAGAAGCUUGCUUCUCUGAUGUUAGCGGCGGACGGGUGAGUAACACGUGGAUAACCUACCUAUAAGACUGGGAUAACUUCGGGAAACCGGAGCUAAUACCGGAUAAUAUUUUGAACCGCAUUGUUCAAAAGUGAAAGACGGUCUUUCUGUCACUUAUAGAUUGAUCCGCGCUGCAUUAGCUAGUUGGUAAGGUAACGGCUUAACAAGGCAACGAUGCAUAGCCGACCUGAGAGGGUGGUCGGCCACACUGGAACUGAGACACGGUCCAGACUCCUACGGGAGGCAGCAGUAGGGACUCUUACGCGAUGGGCGAAAGCCUGAUGGAGCAACGCCGCGUGAGUGAUGAAGGUCUUCGGAUCGUAGAACUCUGUUAGUAGGGAAGAACAUAUGUGUAAGUAACUGUGAACAUAUUGACGGUACCUAAUCAGAAAGCCACGGCUAACUACGUG